Molecule: ribosomal RNA, 77 nt
Filed under: Klebsiella pneumoniae
Lineage: Bacteria; Pseudomonadati; Pseudomonadota; Gammaproteobacteria; Enterobacterales; Enterobacteriaceae
Also listed under: 1 other name
Description: partial 23S ribosomal RNA
Rfam family: Bacterial large subunit ribosomal RNA
Source: RNAcentral
GAGGACCGGAGUGGACGCAUCACUGGUGUUCGGGUUGUCAUGCCAAUGGCACUGCCCGGUAGCUAAAUGCGGAAGAG